This is a non-coding RNA of Phascolarctos cinereus (koala), 866 nucleotides long. NCBI's taxonomy places the organism in Eukaryota, Metazoa, Chordata, Mammalia, Diprotodontia, Phascolarctidae. The record is from RefSeq and is a predicted model, not a curated record.
ACUUUCCUGACUACUCCACAAGACUGGGAUGUGGGGACUGACCAUGCCAGCCAGAAAGUCCCUGGAACAAAUCAGCACCUGACCAGAUAUUCUCGGGCUCUCAACAUUUGUCUGACACCCAUCUGGAAAGGCACCAACAACCUAAGGUUGUCAGAUGAAAGAAUAUAAGUUCUUAGAAACUUCACAAAAACUGUGGCGGUGGGCAUGCUCCUUUAUGCCAGAGCAUGGAAAACAGCAGGAUAAAAAGAAAGGGAUCACAACCGAAUGUAUGCGGGAUCUAUAGGAGGCUGGGAAAGAUCCUGUCCUGAUGACAUCAUGGAAAAUUCACUUUUCAAGACACCUUUGCCAUCACCCAGGACUCCAGGAAAACAAGGCAAUUGGGGUUAAGUGACUUGCCCAGGGUCACACAGCUGCUAAAAUGCUCCCAUCAAGUAGAGGCAAAGAGAUUCCUAAGAAGACUCCUAAGAAAAUUUAGGAAAGUGGCAACUGAAGGGAUUCCUGAGACAAAUUGAACAACUUUAGAAAAUGAUGAUCAACUGUUCAAAUAUCCAUAGAAAUCCUCCUUGUAUGCCUCAUCACCCGUAUCAACAUGGCAUCAGGGCCCAAACUAUCUGGCAGUCAUACAGCAAGCUGGAACAACUUAAGAUCUGGACCAGGGAUGAGCUGUGUCAGAAAGUGACCAGUCUAGCAAAGUUACAAGGGGUUCAUCUCCAGUAGCUGGUCUACCAUGCAAUGACUUUUUUGGGGGAGAAGUGGGAAAGCCCACCACUUAGAAAGUCUAAAGUGUGAAGGGGUAGGGUCUGCACCAGUGAAGAGGAUAUUCAUACCAGUAAACUUGUGGAUAUUUGAAAUAUUGAACUAAAAAU